RNAcentral lists this ribosomal RNA (115 nucleotides) under Danio rerio (zebrafish). The record is from RNAcentral. Lineage: Eukaryota; Metazoa; Chordata; Actinopteri; Cypriniformes; Danionidae.
GCCGGCAGCUAGCUCUCUGCAACUCUCACAUGGUCGCCCACUAAAGCUAAGCAGGGCUGCACCUGGUCAGUACCUAGAUGGGAGACCACAUGGGAAAGCUAGGUUGCUGCCGGAA